UACGUAGGGUGCGAGCGUUGUCCGGAAUUACUGGGAGUAAAGAGCUCGUAGGUGGUUUGUCACGUCGUCUGUGAAAUUCCGGGGCUUAACCUCGGGCGUGCAGGCGAUAAGGGCAAUACUUGAGUGCUGUAGGGGAGACUGGAAUUCCUGGUGUAGCGGUGAAAUGCGCAGAUAUCAGGAGGAACACCAAUGGCGAAGGCAGGUCUCUGGGCAGUUACUGACGCUGAGGAGCGAAAGCAUGGGUAGCGAACAGGAUUAGA
RNAcentral lists this ribosomal RNA (260 nucleotides) under uncultured prokaryote. Its description in RNAcentral is "partial 16S ribosomal RNA". It matches the Rfam family "Bacterial small subunit ribosomal RNA", at positions 524 to 782 of the family's 1533-position model. The record is from RNAcentral.